Long non-coding RNA from Actinia tenebrosa (Australian red waratah sea anemone), 3000 nucleotides. RefSeq lists it as uncharacterized. NCBI's taxonomy places the organism in Eukaryota, Metazoa, Cnidaria, Anthozoa, Actiniaria, Actiniidae. The record is from RefSeq and is a predicted model, not a curated record.
UGAAAACCAACCAAUGACUGAUAUCUAGCCUCCGAUGAUGUUAGGAUAAUCUUACUAAAUACCAAUUACAUGUUGUCAGUGAAUGGAAGAACCGGUAAUGUCGUAUAAAGAAAAAGGACCUGUGUGGCACAACAGGUGACAAGAGGAACCCUUUUUUAAGCAGGAUAUUGAAUUGAGUUGGAUACCAACCAUAUUAUGAGAUGACUCAGAUGUUAGUCCUUGUUCAGAUGAAGCACUAAUCAUAAGUUAAAGCUAUUUACCUCCAUCAAGUGAAGCUGAGAGAGUGCAAUAACACCAGCUAUCUGGAACCAGCCAAUGUAGAAAACCAUCUUUAACCAAACCUAGCAAUAUAGACGCCACUUAUUAGACAUAUAACAGACUUACAUAACCCAUAUAGCACAGUUACAGUACGUACCCAUGAUAUAUAACCCCUGUAUAUAUGGGUCACAUACUACUACCAUACUGGCAUACAUGAUUCUUAUAAUGGCUGAUGAUGCAAUGCUGAGCAAUGCUGCUCAUUCAACAUAAAUGUGGAUAGCUUCAAUUCAGGUCAAAACAAAAGGUCAAGUUCUACAUUUCUUCUAUAAAGUCGCCUUUGGCUCACGCUUCCUUUGCACUUCUUUUUUGCUUACAUCACUUCCUGCAUGCUUUAUUACUGAAUGGAACAUGGAAAAAAGCUCAUUUCUUUGUAAAAUACAUGUUUUUGGUAUUAAGUACAUACCCAUGAUUUAUCAAAUAACAUGGCCAGUAGGGUAAAUUGAAAGAAUGCAUCUGCACUGGAUAUUUUCCACAGCCACAUCACAAGCCAAGUACUCCUGUAGUUAAGAACCUCUGCUUGUAAUUCCUAAUGAAAAACAUAAUAAAGACCACAUAGAUUAUUUUUCUCUUAUAAAACAGCAUACAUAUCCUAAGGAUCAGUCAUAUGUGCAGUGUAUGUUUUUUUGUAUAUAUAAAGAUGUCAAAGCUCAGUUCUAUUCCAUUCAAAUCAUCAUCCCUCUCUGUUAUGGUGAAAUGUUGUGAAAUUGAACUUAACGCCAUAAGACAAGAAUCAAAGAAUACUUUUUAGCACAACCCACAUGUCUUCUCCAAAGACUUUAAGAAUUAUUACACUCUUAUUUCAAAAAAGAUACUUGGAGCCAAAGGAGAUAAGCAAUAGGACGUUCCAAGACAAAAAUUGAUCUACAAAUGACAUUGGAUAUCUCAACACUGAGCUCCAAGUUCUUGAUGAUUGAGAAUAAGCAGCAGAAGUCAUAUUUCCAGCUAUUCUUGGACCUUGGAAUGAUCUGUCUCCUAUAAUUGCUAUAUAAUUGCCUUUGGCUUUGUUUGAGAAAACAGAUGUUUUUCUUCAUAUCCGUUGAGUCUAAUUUCUAUGAUGAAAGAAAUAAACUUGAAAUUCUUUUAGAUACACCAAAAACUUGUAAGACUGAAUAUCCAGCCUUAAACCUCUAGCCUGCGACAGCAAUUAAUUGCUUAAUGGGAAAGAAAUCUACAACAAAGUAAGUUUGUACAUAUACGUCCUGAAAGACCUACCAACCAUCAGAACACUUGAUGAGUAAAUGAAGGAUAAAAUAAGGAUAUAUAAAACUUUUUAAUACCAACCUUUGGAUAAUGUGGAUUAGGAAGCUCAAGUAAUUCAUGGUAUGAACGAACAAAGUGGUCCCAAAAACCGCUUCUUCCAAUCACUUGAAUAACAGCCAUCAGUACCGUAAUGGUAAUGGUACGGCGAUCUACAUGCACAAAGGAAUAGGUCGUCUUUUCUGGUUUAGUGGGAUAGUGUUCGGAUAAUAGCCCUACUCCUGCUUCUACAUCUUUUCGUAUGCGGACUUUUUUCAAGGGAGGAAAACGAUGUAAAAACACGCCUAAUGAGAAAGCCAUUAAUARUCCUCCACCAAAAUCCAUGGCUGCAUCGACUAAAUACCCUGACGAACCCCAGCCUGAAACGAAAGUCUUCUUGUGAGCCUGUGCUCUAUACACAACACCAUCAAGUAGAUCUAGUUGGUUUCUGAACUCGUAUAUAACACAGCCGAUUCGACGGAAAGCAAGAUGCUCGGAGAUGGCAAAUUUACAGGAGAUAACAGCGCAGAAAAAGUGGAAGGCGCUGAUAACAUUUGGAGUUAUGCCAGGAAUAGACGAAAUACCAAGUUUUUCUUCUGAUAAUUCCAUGAGUGGCAAGUUUAUAUAGUGGUCAAUAUGUUCUGUCAUACGAAGUUUCACACUUUUGACGGGAAACAUCAUCUUUGAAGCAACUGUUGAGUUGUAGUUGGAUCCAUAAACUGCUAACUCGUCGAAGAAACUUAAAUCCAUCCAUAACAGGUAUGUCAACAGUACAAAGAUAAAGUAAAACCCAAAGCUUUCUUCACACCCUGCCAUGCUUCACUAGAGCAUUCAAGAUCCAACGUAGUGCGAAGAAAUGCAGAGGGUUUUAAGAGACUAUUUCUUUUUCACCGGCUUGUCGUCCUUCGUAAACACUUCCACUUGGCUUCUCGUUGGACGACGAUCAUACGAUGCUAGUCACUAGUACCCAGGGUUAGCAAAUAAUAGUGCAUGCUCACAUAUCAAGUAGACUGGUAUACCAAGGGAGGGGGGUACCUGCUUACCCAAGUCCGGCUGACCUCAACCCUUUUUCUUGCACCUGGCACCUGGCUAAACCCUAUAGACUGAAAUCAUUUUUUCAGAAAAACCUAAUAUCUAAUGUUUAUGUUCCGUCAGGGAACUAAUUAGUCGGACAAGCUUGUUAAUAACACUGAAAAGAUAGACAACUUCAAAUCAUAGUUAAUAGAUAUUAACUAUGUUCAAAUGUAGGGGCUGUAGUCAUAGUACUAGGAGCUAUCUGUCGGUAUUUUAACAUUUUAAAAUAGGUUAUACUAAAUUAUCAUUACACGUGUGAGUAAUUAGUACUAGAUUCAGCUAGGCUUAAAGGCUUUUAUGACAUGCAGACGACCAAUUACAACUCAAAUCACCACUGACUUUUUCAAAUAAAACUCAUAUGAAUGUUUGUAA